UUGCAAACUCGAUCACUAGCUCUGCAUGAUGUUGCAGAAGCGAGGGGAACAGGUUUGCUAAAGCAAACAUGGUCAUAGAAAUGUGUCAGCCUUAAAAAACAAAAUUAUUUUGGCUGUUAAUUCUAUACCAUGACAAGG
This is a non-coding RNA of Calypte anna (Anna's hummingbird), 138 nucleotides long. NCBI's taxonomy places the organism in Eukaryota, Metazoa, Chordata, Aves, Apodiformes, Trochilidae. The record is from Rfam.